AAGGUGCUUCUUCUUCAGACUCAGAAGGUGAAGGAUCUGUGUCGAAGUCUAGGUCCGGAGCCAUGCCACAGGCACAGAAGAAAACCAGCUCAGUUUCUUUGACGAUACACACAUCGUCACCAAAGAGCCCAGAGGCCCAACCUCAUCGCUCCACACUGGUCCAGACGCUUUCUACCACACCACAGAGAGUCCAGAGUCCAGUUUCUUCACUCUAUGCUGGUGAUGGUCCUGUUAAAGCACCCCCUAACAUUAC
Molecule: long non-coding RNA, 253 nt
Organism: Sinocyclocheilus grahami
Lineage: Eukaryota; Metazoa; Chordata; Actinopteri; Cypriniformes; Cyprinidae
Exons: 3
Source: RefSeq, a predicted model, not a curated record